Molecule: ribosomal RNA, 540 nt
Filed under: Triticum aestivum (bread wheat)
Lineage: Eukaryota; Viridiplantae; Streptophyta; Magnoliopsida; Poales; Poaceae
Description: partial small subunit ribosomal RNA
Source: RNAcentral
AUGUCCAAUGCUUUUGCGUCCUCCAUCGGUGCCAGCGGCGGCGUGACCGCGUCGGCCAUCGUUGCCCCGGUCGUCGGGUCCGGCUCGCACAUCCUCCGCAUCGACGGCUACUCCUGCACAAAGGGGAUCGGCAACGGCACACACAUCGCCUCCGAGACGUUCGCCGCCGCAGGGCACCGCUGGUGUCUGCACUACUACCCAGACAGUCCGAACCGCCACGGCUCCGGUGAGAUAUGCAUCUUUCUGAAGCUUGUUGAUGCUGAUGCCAAUGAAGUGAAAGCCAAAUACACGAUUAGUCUGCUCGACCAUGAUGGGAAUCCAAGGCCGCAGCACAUCCAUGCGGGCGAAAAGACCUAUUCGAGCAGAGACGCUUCGACGUCGGGGGUUGGUCUCAUCGAGAGGAGCGAGCUGGAAGGAUGUGGUUACCUCAAGGACGACGCUUUCGUUAUCAGGUGCGAUAUCAUCGUGGUGAAGGAGAUCUUCACCAAGGCCAUCCCGGUCUCCGAAGCUUUUCGUCCCGUCAUGAAACGGGAGAUGUGA